Non-coding RNA from Podarcis lilfordi (Lilford's wall lizard), 4933 nucleotides. The record is from the annotation of a GenBank genome assembly. Lineage: Eukaryota; Metazoa; Chordata; Lepidosauria; Squamata; Lacertidae.
AGGGGACAUAUUUUGGAUCAAAACUUUGAUAGUACAGCAUGGGGUGAGGCUUGUGGAAGACUUCCCUACCCCUCCCUCCAUAAUUCACUCACUGGCAAAUGACAUAUUGCUGCCUUGGCAAGAAGUGCUUUUCUUUAUAAGGAAGGUGGCAAUUCUGAUUUAUUUAUGUACUUUGAAUUUUGUAUCUUACCUUUUAACCUCAACAAGGAGUGUCUAUUUAUUUUUUCUUAAUCUGAAGCCCAGCACUUCCGGGCUCUAGACCUUAUGGAUCUUUGCCUUAUCUUUUGUAUUUUUUGGUGUUAGUUGCAAAGCUUUGCGUGAGGGGCAUGGGACUAAUACAUAGACUUGUGGAAAAUAUGGACUGAGCCCAUGUCCAUAUGGGAAAAGAGGUUAACUAGCACUCUUAAACAUCUGCCUUAAUGACCGUACAUCUGUACUUGUAAGGGGAGGGUCUCCAUAUCCCCUUCUUGGCAGUCUAAAGGUUGUAUAUACAGGCAGGUAGCCAUGUUGAUCUGCUGUAAUUGAAACAAAAUAGAAAAAUUCCUUCCAGUAGCACCUUAGAAACCAAAUAAAUUUGUUAUUGGUAUGAGCUUUCGUGUGCAUGCACACUUCUUCAGUUACCAAAGGUUGUAUUGUUACUUAUCUCCUUGGCUCAAGGGUUGCAUAACUCUAUACCCUCCAACAUUCCUCCGAUGAAAACAGGGAUGUCCUAAGGAAAAGUGGGACAUUCCAGGAUCAAAUUAGAAACUGGAAUGGCUUCUGUAAAUCCAGGACUGUCUCUGGAAAAUAAGGAUACUUGGAGGGUCUGUGUUUCUCAUGUUCUAGUUUUUAGAUCUGUUGGUGGUUAUUCAGGUUCGAACAUUUACAGAGUGUAAGGGCGGAAGUCAGAUCACGUAUGUUUCUUGUAUAGCAUAUUUUCUUCGGCAGAGACCAGCCAGGCACCCCUAGAAUGGACAUCGUUGUGAUGGCCAUGGUUUUACUGCUUGUCUCCAGACUCUGCAUCAUGAAUAGCGCAUGAAACCCUCAGAGUUUACCAACCAUUUAAAAUAAAUUAUUAUUAUUAUUAUUAUUAACCGUUGGUAAUCUCUGAGGGCUUCAUGUACUAUUCAUGAUGCAAAGUCCCAGUUCUCCCUCUGUGAUGUAGGGUUUUAGGUUCAAAAAAAGAGAGAGGAUGAGGCCUUCCUUACUUUCUCCCAGAAACAUUUCUUCCAGAAAGCACAGGAGUUGCGUAUUCCUGCUAGAUUGGGACAAACAAAUGUUGAAGGUAGAUGGAAAGUGGAGCUGGGAAGAAUGGCAUUUACUACGUAAUGGAAACCGAGAAUAAAACAUAACGAGCUGGAUUGGAAAACUGUGUGUUUGGCUUAAGGUUGGGGCUGUUAAUAUUUUUAAAAUAAACUCAGAUUUGAAGCCUUGUUUCUUUCUGAGCAAUAAAGAUACCGCUUGGUUAAUUAUUACAUGGGGCUCAGUAAGUUCCUUGAGAAUUUUUCAGCGUUCCUCAUAAACUCUCUUAGUAACAGAGCAGGAUUGCCACAUUCUGCUGUUUCCGUUUCAUAAGAUGAGUGCCACUCUGAUGGUUCUCUUUUUGUUUAAUGCUGCUCUGCUUGGAGAUGCAAAUGACGGCACGGGAGGCCAGCCGGGCUAGGCUUGCUUCCUAGAGUACCUGGCUUGCAAACAGUGUCCCAGAGGACCACGGGCUUCCAUGGUAGGAAGAACUGCAGAUUCGCUGUACCCAUGGUACCAGACCUUCUAGCCUUGCAUCGAAAAGCUAUGGUUGCUAUUUGUUAAAAAUGAACUAUCUGGGCAUGCCAUGGGAUUAAUAAAAAUAAUAAUAUGAGCAGCAGAGUAAGCCAGGAUAUGUCCAGACUCUAGAGAUGGAAGGAUCUGUUAAAUUUUGCUUUCCCAGUUAUUUCUUCCUUCCAGCCUUUUAUUCUAUUCUCCAGAUUCCUGAUACAUUUUAUGAAUUACUUGUUCUUUUUUCUUAUAAAAUCUUCGUGAAAAUUCACCAGCAUUUGAGUGCAAAAUUAUCCAAUUUUUAAUGUAGUUUUCACAAAUGUACACAUGUUUUGCAGUCCAUUUUUCCUAACACAAUGUAUUUUGUAUGUUAUUUUCACUAGUUCUGCUAAUUUUUAUGUGCUAAUUUAAUAGAUGCACUUCUGUAAACAUUUAUUGUUUGGAGAACUCCAUCACAAGAUUCGGGUAAGUCUGGAUUUUGAAAGAUGGCCAUGUCUAGAUUCUCAAGUUUUUUGGGAAAGUGGAUUUUAUAUUCACAUUUAAAGGCAAACUGAACCAAUUCUCCCCCCCCCUUCCAUAGUCUGAGCAUGUAGUAUUUUGAGUUUCCCCCUACUGUCCUAGAAAUCACAGAGGAAGUCCCACUGUCUGAAUAGAGUAUUGCUGUACUUCAGUGAGACAGCUUUGUAUCAUGCUGGCGGGGGAAUGGGGAACUCGCAAGAUCCUGGAUUAAACCCCAUCCAAUUCAGGAAAGAAAUUAUUGGAACCCAUAGAUCACCUGUGACAGCACUGUAUAGACCACAGCCUGGUAGCAUGCAGAUGUUGUUGACCUAUAGAUCCCAUCUUCCCUGACACGUUGGCUGGGGCUGAUAAGAGUUGCAAUCCCCCCCCCCCCAAAUCUGGAGGGGGCACCAGGUUGGGGUAAGCUGGGGUAGACCCAGCUUUAGACAUUGUCAGACCCCAACUCCCAUUAGUCUUAGCAUAGCCAGAGAUGAUGGGAGCUGAAGUUCAACAAAGCUAUAGGAUACUGUGUUAGCUUUCUCAGGUGUAGUCUGUGUAGAGCUAGAUCCUGGACUCAGCUUUGUUCCCUGGUGCUCAUGUGAAGUUGGAUUAGUUUUCUUAAUGAAUAGCAAAGCUGAGGUUCUUGUGUUCCUAUUUUAAUUGGUGUUCAGAUAUUUUUAAUGGAGUAUUUUAGCUGUGCUGAGGUAUAUUGUUAAGGAGUGUCCCUCCCCUCUUUUUUAGAUGGGGGUAGCUACUUGGUGUAGUUCUUUCGAUUGGGAAAGCAAUUUGUGAGUAGAUGCGUCAGAGCUGGUACUUAUUGAUGAAAGUUACUGUUCGGCAAAACAAUGAAAUAAGGUUUUAAUUGUGAGACUUCCUUCUGGACAGAGGCCAUUUGUUCCCAGUGUUGUUGUUCUAGUGUUGUAAAAUCCCACAAAACCAGAGAGUCACGCCAAAAGAAGCAGGACCCUGCAAUCAUGGUGCUUAUUGAAUUAAUUACUACAUUGAGAUCCCACAUAGGAGGUUGACUUGCACUGAGUCAGAUCAUCUAGCUCAUGAGUAGGCAAACUAGGGCCCGUGGGCUGGAUCAGGCCCAAUUGCCUUCUGGAUCUGGCCCCCGGAUGGUCUGGGAAUCACCAUGUGGAUCACCAGCACGCACGUUCUUUCCCUCUCCCUCACACGGUGGCACCAGCGCCUCCUCCCUCCCUCCUCCUGGCUUCUCCCUGACCUGCCUAGAGGAGGAAGGGGGCUGGGCUUUGUUGGUGCCAGCAGUAGCGCUUGAGCGGCCGCCAUUUUCAGCAGCCCCUCUCUGGAGCCCUUUCACGCACUGCUCAGCGUCCCACCGCCAGCCCCUGCCGCUCGCAAGACACAGGUAAGCAGCCACUUGUGGUUGCUUGUGGUGCUCUUGCAUCAUCUUUCCCCAAAAUAUAGUCUGGCCCCCUCACAAGGUCUGAGGGACAGUGGACUGGCCCUCUGCUGAAAAUGUCUGCUGAAUAUUGUCUCAAUAUUGUCUACACUGACUGGUAGUGACUCUCCAGGGUUUCAGACAGGAAGUGCUUCCCAGCCCUACCUAGAGAUGCUGGGAUUGAACAUGGGACCUUCCGCAUGCAAACCACAUGCUCUAUCACUGAGCUGCAGGCUUUCCCAAGGUGGCAUGUGUGGUUUUCUAAGGAGUUCAAGGUAUGUUUGUGGCUCUCUAAAGGUAAAGGUAAAGGGGACCCCUGACCAUUAGGUCCAGUCAUGACCGAUUUUGGGGUUGCGGCGUCAUCUCGCUUUACUGGCCGAGGGAGCCGGCGUACAGCUUCUGGGUCAUGUGGCCAGCAUGACUAAGCCGCUUCUGGAGAAUCAGAGCAGCGCACGGAAACACCGUUUACCUUUCCGCCGGAGUGGUACCUAUUUAUCUACUUGCACUUUGACAUGCUUGGCAGGAGCAGGGACCGAGCAACGGGAGCUCACCCCGUCAUGGGGAUUCGAACUGCCGACCUUCUGAUCGGCAAGUCCUAGGUUCUGUGGUUUAACCCACAGCGCCACCCGCAUCCCGACUUGUGGCUCUUUACCUUCCUAUUAUUUUCCUCACAGCUGCUCCAUGAGUUAGGUUAAGUCCAACCAGUUUGUACAUAAAGUAGUCCACACUAAGUCAUGCAUGCUGUCUGUCCCCCAUGGGAUGUUGCUGUUGUUGUUGUUGUUACAGUCGUACCUUGGAUCCCGAACGCUUUGCAACUCGAACCUUUUGGCUCCUGAAUGCCGCAAACCCGGAAGUGAGUGUUCUGGUUUGCAAACGUUCUUUGGAAGCCAUUCUUUGGAAGCUCCUGCAGCCAAUCGGAAGCCGUGCCUUGGCUGUCGAAUGUUUUUGGGUGUUGAACAGGCUUCUGGAACAGAUUCUGUUUGACAACCAAGGUAUGACUUUAUGUUCAUUUCUACACCACUCUAUAUUUUAAAGAACAAAUCUCAAACCACUUUGCAACACGUUAAAACACAAAAUAAAACAAUCCAGAAUAAAACUUAUUCAAGCUUCAAGGAAAAAUAUUUCGGAUCCUUCUCUAAGUGACAUUUUGCUUUCGCCAGUCGCCAACCCGGCAUCUCCACGUGGCUGCAAUUGGACCCGCAGCAGUUGCAAAAUGUGCCUGGCGCCUGGCUAAUUUCGAAGACUGAAGGGUAAUAAAAUACAAUUUAAAACUCCAAAUACAGCCACACCUUAUAAUAACAC